GAUGAACGCUAGCGACAGGCUUAACACAUGCAAGUCGAGGGGUAACAGAUCUUCGGAUGCUGACGACCGGCGCACGGGUGAGUAACGCGUAUGCAACCUACCUACUACAGGGGAAUAACCCGGCGAAAGUCGGACUAAUACCGCAUAAUACAGGGCUACCGCAUGGUAAUAUUUGUUAAAGAUUUAUUGGUAGUAGAUGGGCAUGCGUUCCAUUAGUUAGUUGGCGGGGUAACGGCCCACCAAGACAGCGAUGGAUAGGGGAACUGAGAGGUUUAUCCCCCACACCGGUACUGAGACACGGACCGGACUCCUACGGGAGGCAGCAGCGAGGAAUAUUGGUCAAUGGACGAGAGUCUGAACCAGCCAAGUCGCGUGAAGGAUGAAGGUAUUAUGUAUCGUAAACUUCUUUUAUAAGGGAAUAAAACAAUUCACGUGUGGAUUCUUGUAUGUACCUUAUGAAUAAGCAUCGGCUAACUCCGUGCCAGCAGCCGCGGUAAUACGGAGGAUGCGAGCGUUAUCCGGAUUUAUUGGGUUUAAAGGGUGCGUAGGUGGACUUUUAAGUCAGCGGUGAAAUCUCGAUGCUUAACAUCGAAACUGCCGUUGAAACUGAAGGUCUUGAGUGCGGACGAGGCAGGCGGAAUUCGUAGUGUAGCGGUGAAAUGCAUAGAUAUUACGAAGAACACCGAUAGCGCAGGCAGCUUGCCGGGCCGCAACUGACACUGAAGCACGAAAGUGUGGGUAUCAAACAGGAUUAGAUACCCUGGUAGUCCACACAGUAAACGAUGAAUACUAACUGUUUGCGAUAUACAGUAAGCGGUACAGCGAAAGCGUUAAGUAUUCCACCUGGGGAGUACGCCGGCAACGGUGAAACUCAAAGGAAUUGACGGGGGCCCGCACAAGCGGAGGAACAUGUGGUUUAAUUCGAUGAUACGCGAGGAACCUUACCCGGGCUCGAACGAUGGGGGAAUGACCUGGAAACAGGCAGCCGGCAACGGCUCCCAUCGAGGUGCUGCAUGGUUGUCGUCAGCUCGUGCCGUGAGGUGUCGGCUUAAGUGCCAUAACGAGCGCAACCCUUGCCGCCAGUUACCAUCAAGUCAUGUUGGGGACUCUGGCGGGACUGCCGCCGUAAGGUGUGAGGAAGGUGGGGAUGACGUCAAAUCAGCACGGCCCUUACGUCCGGGGCUACACACGUGUUACAAUGGGUGGGACAGAAGGCUGCUACACGGCGACGUGCGGCUAAUCCUAAAACCCACUCCCAGUUCGGAUUGGAGUCUGCAACCCGACUCCAUGAAGCUGGAUUCGCUAGUAAUCGCGCAUCAGCCAUGGCGCGGUGAAUACGUUCCCGGGCCUUGUACACACCGCCCGUCAAGCCAUGGAAGCCGGAGGUACCUGAAGUACGUAACCGCAAGGAGCGUCCUAGGGUAAAAUCGGUAACUGGGGC
Molecule: ribosomal RNA, 1441 nt
Filed under: uncultured Porphyromonadaceae bacterium
Lineage: Bacteria; Pseudomonadati; Bacteroidota; Bacteroidia; Bacteroidales; Porphyromonadaceae
Description: 16S ribosomal RNA
Rfam family: Bacterial small subunit ribosomal RNA
Source: RNAcentral